Molecule: long non-coding RNA, 363 nt
Organism: Trichomycterus rosablanca
Lineage: Eukaryota; Metazoa; Chordata; Actinopteri; Siluriformes; Trichomycteridae
Exons: 3
Source: RefSeq, a predicted model, not a curated record
GUUUGUUUUGUCAGUCUCUUUUAAAGACAUAACAGAAGUACAGAAUUACAACACUGUGACGGUCACAUUAAAACGAUGUUUCACAUUGUGGAAUUUGCAGACAAAAAGGUUGCAGUAGUCCCAGCUGUUUGGGUAUCGAAUGGAAUCUGUAGCUGGCCCCCAUACAAAAAUGGAAACGAGAUGAGCAAGGCAGUGAAAAAGCAAGAAAUUCCGAAUCCAGACUGGGCAAAAUACGCUGUCAUAGUGAGAUGCACGAAAAAUUCAUACGAUGCUAUAAGGCCUAAAUUAGCACUGGCUGAACAGCAAAGUGAUCUGCAAACAGAGAGUGAAGAUGACACAAUGCCCUCAUACAAAAGAAGGAAA